GGCGGAUGUAGCCAAGUGGAUUAAGGCAGUGGAUUGUGA
This 39-nucleotide transfer RNA is filed under the name Hydrocotyle bonariensis. Its description in RNAcentral is "partial tRNA-His". RNAcentral also lists the same sequence under 1 other name. Lineage: Eukaryota; Viridiplantae; Streptophyta; Magnoliopsida; Apiales; Araliaceae. The record is from RNAcentral.